UGGGGAAUUUUGGACAAUGGGCGCAAGCCUGAUCCAGCCAUUCCGCGUGCAGGACGAAGGCCUUCGGGUUGUAAACUGCUUUUGUACGGAACGAAAAGGCUCUGGCUAAUACCUGGGGCUCAUGACGGUACCGUAAGAAUAAGCACCGGCUAACUACGUGCCAGCAGCCGCGGUAAUACGUAGGGUGCAAGCGUUAAUCGGAAUUACUGGGCGUAAAGCGUGCGCAGGCGGUUUUGUAAGACAGAUGUGAAAUCCCCGGGCUUAACCUGGGAACUGCGUUUGUGACUGCAAGGCUGGAGUACGGCAGAGGGGGGUGGAAUUCCACGUGUAGCAGUGAAAUGCGUAGAGAUGUGGAGGAACACCGAUGGCGAAGGCAGCCCCCUGGGCCUGUACUGACGCUCAUGCACGAAAGCGUGGGGAGCAAACA
RNAcentral lists this ribosomal RNA (427 nucleotides) under uncultured bacterium. RNAcentral describes it as "bacterial SSU rRNA". It matches the Rfam family "Bacterial small subunit ribosomal RNA", at positions 355 to 774 of the family's 1533-position model. The record is from RNAcentral.